UUUGAAUUACUUUAAUGUAAAAAAUUUGCUUUAUUUGUUCUUCCUUAAUAGUUUUGUAAGGUUUCAAAA
This 69-nucleotide transfer RNA is filed under the name Thrips imaginis (plague thrips). RNAcentral's name for it is "tRNA-Ser". The record is from RNAcentral. Lineage: Eukaryota; Metazoa; Arthropoda; Insecta; Thysanoptera; Thripidae.